RNAcentral lists this ribosomal RNA (504 nucleotides) under uncultured bacterium. Its description in RNAcentral is "bacterial SSU rRNA". It matches the Rfam family "Bacterial small subunit ribosomal RNA", at positions 28 to 527 of the family's 1533-position model. The record is from RNAcentral.
GAUUAACGCUGGCGGCAUGCCUAAUACAUGCAAGUCGGACGAGGGUAGCAAUACCCUAGUGGCGAACGGGUGAGUAACACGUGGGAAAUCUGCCUUUAAGUCGAGGAUAACUGCUGGAAACGGCAGCUAAAACUGGAUAGGUUAUAUUGGGGCAUCCUGAUAUAAUUAAAAGUCCUUUACGGGAAUGCUUAAAGAUGAUCCUGCGUCGCAUUAGCUAGUUGGUGAGGUAGCGGCUCACCAAGGCGACGAUGCGUAGCUGUGCUGAGAGGCAAAACAGCCACACUGGGACUGAGACACGGCCCAGACUCCUACGGGAGGCAGCAGUAGGGAAUUUUCGGCAAUGGGGGAAACCCUGACCGAGCAAUGCCGCGUGAAUGAAGAAGGUCUUCGGACUGUAAAAUUCUGUUAUUUGUGGAAGAAGGUAGUUGGAGGAAAUGCCAAUUACUUGACGGUACCAAAUGAGAAAGCCCCGGUAACUAUGUGCCAGCAGCCGCGGUAAACACG